RNAcentral lists this ribosomal RNA (492 nucleotides) under uncultured bacterium. Its description in RNAcentral is "partial 16S ribosomal RNA". It matches the Rfam family "Bacterial small subunit ribosomal RNA", at positions 29 to 507 of the family's 1533-position model. The record is from RNAcentral.
AGUGAACGCUGGCGGUAGGCCUAACACAUGCAAGUCGAACGGCCGCACAGUAAGAUCUUGCUCUUACGGGUGGCGAGUGGCGGACGGGUGAGGAAUACAUCGGAUUCUACUUUUUCGUGGGGGAUAACGUAGGGCAACUUACGCUAAUACCGCAUACGACCUACGGGUGACAGCAGUGGAUCUUCGGACCUUGCGUGAUUGACUGAGCCGGUGUCGGAUUAGCUAGUUGGCUGGGUAAAGGCCCACCAAGGCGACGAUGCGUAGCUGGUCUGAGAGGAUGAUCAGCCACACUGGAACUGAGACACGGUCCAGACUCCUACGGGAGGCAGCAGUGGGGAAUAUUGGGCAAUGGGCGCAAGCCUGAUCCAGCCAUACCGCGUGGGUGAAGAAGGCCUUCGGGUCGUAAAGCCCUUUUGUUGGGAAAGAAAAGCAGCAGGUGAAUACCUGGCUGUUCUGACGGUACCCAAACAAAAAGCACCGGCUAACUACGUG